CAGUAGCCGCGGUAAUACGGAGGGGGCUAGCGUUGUUCGGAAUUACUGGGCGUAAAGCGCACGUAGGCGGCUUGGUAAGUUAGAGGUGAAAGCCCGGAGCUCAACUCCGGAAUUGCCUUUAAGACUGCCGAGCUAGUAGGUGAGAGAGGUAAGUGGAAUUCCGAGUGUAGAGGUGAAAUUCGUAGAUAUUCGGAAGAACACCAGUGGCGAAGGCGGCUUACUGGCUCAUUCUAGACGCUGAGGUGCGAAAGCGUGGGGAGCAAACAGGAUUAGAUACCCGCGUAGUCCCUGUCUCUUAUAC
This 301-nucleotide ribosomal RNA is filed under the name uncultured bacterium. RNAcentral describes it as "partial 16S ribosomal RNA". It matches the Rfam family "Bacterial small subunit ribosomal RNA", at positions 509 to 807 of the family's 1533-position model. The record is from RNAcentral.